AUUGGUUAUUGAUAACCUUGAGAAUUAGACUUAUGAUUAGGCAGUUUAGUUGGUAACAGUAGGUUGUUAGUAGAUCAAACGGUUAAGAAUUCAAAAGUUCAUAACCUUUGGAAUCUGUUGGCCCACAGUCCUUCUUUUCAUAGAAUAAAGAGGUUGAAAAAAGGGAGAUCGAGGCCAGAUUGUAAUAGUCGUAAGCCGAGGUAAGCUUGGUGCUACUUCUUUGUUUUUUUUGCUUUUAUUAUUUUCUUAUGAAGAAUUGUGAUUGAGAGAAGUAUUGUUGAAAUUAUAAUUAGAAUAUUGUGGAAUAUGACUUUGGACUGACCAUUUUGGAAAAAAUCUGUAACCGUGAGAAUUGAGAUU
RNAcentral lists this long non-coding RNA (360 nucleotides) under Physcomitrium patens. Its description in RNAcentral is "long non-coding RNA (PPAT_LNC012662)". Lineage: Eukaryota; Viridiplantae; Streptophyta; Bryopsida; Funariales; Funariaceae. The record is from RNAcentral.